RNAcentral lists this long non-coding RNA (235 nucleotides) under Elaeis guineensis (African oil palm). RNAcentral's name for it is "long non-coding RNA (EGUI_LNC012614)". The record is from RNAcentral. Lineage: Eukaryota; Viridiplantae; Streptophyta; Magnoliopsida; Arecales; Arecaceae.
AUCUAUGUGUAAUACCCAGGUUGACCCAGGGUUAUAUUCAGAGGUCGCAGCUUCUUUAGAGCUCCCAUUUUUCGAUAUUUGGUCAGUUGUUGGGCAUUCCGCAAUGAAGUCGGCCAAAAUUUGGGCUUUCAAAGUAGAUCACGGUCGGUACUGGAUGUCGAACUCGCUCAGCUUCACCGCCCAUUUCGUCAGUCAUCUUGAUGUGUCGGGGCGAUGCAGGAUCGCCCUCAGGGGU